AAGCUCCGGCACCAGCUCCUCCCGGCCGGCGGCCCGCACCUGAGCCGGAGCCGGAGCCGGGCACGGCGGGUAGCGGUGGGGCGGGGUGGACCAGGCGCCAGGACCAGGCCCGCCGGGGCGGGAGGCCUCCGCGCGCACCUUCGGGGCUGAGGAUAGAGGGCGCAAAGACGUGGGCGCUUCAGGGCCUUGGCGAGGCCGCUAGCCCAGUGGCUUCCAAACCUGGAGGGUCGGCCUAUUUUCUUUAUUCUACAAGUGCCUCCACUGUGCAGCAAAGUGUGGAAACCACUUGGCUUGAGAGAGCUGGGUCCUCUGGAGCAGUUCAGGGUCACCACAGAAGUAGGCCGUCUCUUGGGCCUAUUCGCCCCAGCUUCGAGGUGGUGGUGCUUUAUUAGUGUUAUUAAGGUAAUGAGUAGCAACUGGGAGCGUAUGACGAAGGUGAUCCCAUUGUAAGAGAAACGCUAAAAGGGGUUAAUGCGCUUGAUACAAACAGCGUCCUUUUUGCCUUUUAACUCUAGUACAUCUCAUUUGAUGCCUUGAGACAUGAAAACUGAAUCUUAAGUCUCCACGCAAACCCUCUGCCUCCCACCAGGGUCUAACAGAGCACUCUGGAAGGUGCUCGACAAUUACUGAAGAAUGAGUGAAUACAGUAAUAAAGAAUGCUUUUUCACAUGCUUCCGAAAUUAAGGUCUGAAAACUACUUGUAUUGACGUCAUCUGGGGCACUAUUUUACAAUGCAGACUCCUGAUCUCUACACCUGGACAAGACCAGAAACGUGCAUUUUACCCAGAGCCUCGGGUGAUUCUUAGGCUUACUAAGUUUGAAAACUACUCCAACCAAAUGUAAAAGAAAGUCUUGAAUUUUUUUCCCUCCUAGAGACAUGUUUCUCCAACUGAGGUAAUGGAUGAUUUCAGGUAGAACUCCAUUACUCACCACCAUAUACAGAGGAAAGUCCUCCCACCCGGGAAGUGCAUGCAAAUUUAAGAUAAAUGCCUAAUGAAGCUGCUAAUAUUAUCAGUGAAUAAAAGGAAGGCCACUGGAGCCCCCAAGGAGCUAAUGCAACUAUUUCAUAUCAAAUAAGCUUGUUGCCUUUGUCAUACAGAAACACUGUUGGCCAAUUUUUUAAAGUCAGUACAUUUCCAUUGUUUUUAUUUUUGCAGUUAACUUCUAUUUUUGCCAGGCAGGACUGAUUUUAUAGUCAAGCAGUGAUGAUAUAAAAAAUUCUCUUCAAAUUAAGUGAAAAAGCCAAUGUAAAGAAGGUGAGAAACAAUAAGAUAAUGAUAGAAAGAUGUGGCCAAAAUCAUGAGGGUGCUAUAUGAAGGCAUGUGUAUCAGUUAGGAUUAGAUUCUCCAGAAGUUAAUAAGAACUCAGAUUAACAGUAAAUUAAACACACAAGUUUUAUUCUGUCACCUAGCUGGACGUAGGCAGAAUAAAGCUCUUAGGGCAGGUUCCUGAAUUUAUCAGGGACCCAGGCUCCUUCCAGUUCUUUGCUCCACCUGAUCCUGAGUGUACCCUUGUCCUCAUGAUCAAAGAGGGCUGCAGAAGCUUCAGCCUUCACGUCUGCAUUCCAGAAAUCAGAAUGGAAGAAGAGGAAUAAAAAGAGGAUGCUACCUCUCUUUUAAGGAUACUUCCCGGAAGUUCUACACAACAUUUCUACGUAUGUUUCACUCACCAGAAUUUAGUCACAUGGCCAAAUGUAGCUUUCAAGGGAGGCAAGGAAAUAUACCUGGCCAUUGCUGUGCCCAGAUAAAAAUCAGGACGGUAUUACUGAAGAAGGUGGGGAAAGUAGAUAUUCAGAAGCAAUUAGAGAUCUCUGUCAGAGUAUGAUACCCGAUUCCGGCCACUGAGUUGUAAGGAAACCUCUGCUAUGACAGAUUUCUCUAUUCUUAAAACAAGAGACAUGGGAAAAGAUGGUCCCUUUCAGUCUUUAACUAUUUCGGGAUCUAGAUAUGAUUGCUGGAAUUUCAGCCAUCUAGCACACUGAAAAUGGAGUCAUUGGAGUCAGGAGAGUCCAGAGAACUGCAGAGAAGAGAAACCUU
Molecule: long non-coding RNA, 2036 nt
Filed under: Homo sapiens (human)
Lineage: Eukaryota; Metazoa; Chordata; Mammalia; Primates; Hominidae
Description: non-protein coding lnc-CCDC146-96:3
Source: RNAcentral